AAAAAACCUACAGAGUUGUGCUCCUGUUCUGUAAAUGAAGGACCUAAAAGUGAAGCUUUUGUCCAUAGCUACAUCACUAAGACUCAGGAAAGUAAGGGUUUUCUUGUCGUGUGGACACAGAGGAAAUAUCCAGCAAGCAAAUACUGACCCUCGCAUGCAAGCAGAUCCAUUUCCUUUUUCCGCUUGACAACUUCCUUCCUGCCUGCUAGGAACAAAUCUACUCUUCAUUUUUUCCGGAGUUCUUUAUACAGGCCACUCAGAAAGCCCUUGGGUAGAAGACAAACAUUUUAUUAAUGUAAACUUCAUCUAACAGCUGGAUAAUCAUGCAGCGAGACUCAGAUUUACAGCAGAGAAUUGUUUGCUUCUUUUAACUAUAGUGAUACUGGAGCUGAGUCACUAAAUACUCCAUGCCAGGGAAUAAUGCAGAGUUUACAGAGCUUUCUGCCCUCUGCAUAAACUUAAAAAUAAAUUAAAAUAAAAUAAAACA
RNAcentral lists this long non-coding RNA (487 nucleotides) under Crocodylus porosus (Australian saltwater crocodile). RNAcentral describes it as "lncRNA (ENSCPRG00005018872.1)". The record is from RNAcentral. Lineage: Eukaryota; Metazoa; Chordata; Crocodylia; Crocodylidae.